This 487-nucleotide ribosomal RNA is filed under the name uncultured Corynebacterium sp. RNAcentral's name for it is "partial 16S ribosomal RNA". Lineage: Bacteria; Bacillati; Actinomycetota; Actinomycetes; Mycobacteriales; Corynebacteriaceae. The record is from RNAcentral.
CACGUAGUUAGCCGGUGCUUCUUAUCUAGGUACCGUCACACAAAGCUUCGUCCCUAGCGAAAGGAGUUUACAACCCGAAGGCCUUCAUCCCCCACGCGGCGUCGCUGCAUUAGGCUUGCGCCCAUUGUGCAAUAUUCCCCACUGCUGCCUCCCGUAGGAGUCUGGGCCGUAUCUCAGUCCCAAUGUGGCCGUACACCCUCUCAGGCCGGCUACCCGUCGCCGCCUUGGUAGGCCAUUACCCCACCAACAAGCUGAUAGGCCGCGAGCUCAUCCUACACCGAAAAAACUUUCCAACCACCACACUAAAGAUGGCUCCUAUCCGGUAUUAGACCCAGUUUCCCAAGCUUAUCCCGAAGUGCAGGGCAGAUCACCCACGUGUUACUCACCCGUUCGCCACUCGAGUACCCUGCAAGCAGGGCCUUCCGUCGACUUGCAUGUGUUAAGCACGCCGCCAGCGUUCGUCCUGAGCCACGGAGUCAAAACUCUA